GGAUUAGAUACCCUGGUAGUCCACGCCGUAAACGAUGUCUACUAGCCGUUGGGGGGCUUGACCCCUUAGUGGCGAAGCUAACGCGAUAAGUAGACCGCCUGGGGAGUACGGUCGCAAGAUUAAAACUCAAAUGAAUUGACGGGGGCCCGCACAAGCGGUGGAGCAUGUGGUUUAAUUCGAUGCAACGCGAAAAACCUUACCAGGCCUUGACAUCCUGAGAAUUCGGUAGAGAUACCUUAGUGCCUUCGGGAACUCAGUGACAGGUGUUGCAUGGCUGUCGUCAGCUCGUGUCGUGAGAUGUUGGGUUAAGUCCCGUAACGAGCGCAACCCUUAUCCUUAUUUGCCAGCACGUAAUGGUGGGAACUCUAAGGAGACUGCCGGUGACAAACCGGAGGAAGGAGAGGAUGACGUCAAGUCAUCAUGGCCCUUACGGCCUGGGCUACACACGUGCUACAAUGGAAAGUACAGAGGGCCGCAAUGCCGCGAGGUGGAGCAAAUCCCAGAAAACUUUUCGUAGUCCGGAUCGGAGUCUGCAACUCGACUCCGUGAAGUCGGAAUCGCUAGUAAUCGCGAAUCAGCAUGUCGCGGUGAAUACGUUCCCGGGCCUUGUACACACCGCCCGUCACAUCAUGGGAGUGGGUUGCACCAGAAGUAGCUAGUUUAACCUUCGGGAGAACGGUUACCA
This 685-nucleotide ribosomal RNA is filed under the name seawater metagenome. RNAcentral describes it as "bacterial SSU rRNA". It matches the Rfam family "Bacterial small subunit ribosomal RNA", at positions 775 to 1459 of the family's 1533-position model. The record is from RNAcentral.